GUAUUGGCCUAUGGACAUUAGUAUUGGCCUAUGGACAUUGGUAUUGGCCUAUGGACAUUGGUAUUGGCCCAUAGGCCUCAUAAUGGCUCAGGGGCCCUGUUAAUAUCCCAUGGGCCCUG
This 119-nucleotide microRNA precursor is filed under the name Xenoturbella bocki. RNAcentral's name for it is "microRNA xbo-mir-2012 precursor". The record is from miRBase by way of RNAcentral. Lineage: Eukaryota; Metazoa; Xenacoelomorpha; Xenoturbellidae.